CAGGUUUUCGCCUGCGGAGUCGGUCCCUCUCACGCGCCUCCCUGACGGAGGAACCGAGAGCUACGAAGUGACCUGCCCGGGGUCACGUCGUUUAGCCGCGGCAGCCCCUCGGCUCAGCUCAGGCCCGUGUCCCGUCUUCUGCUCUGCCACCGCGGCGCGCCGCCUGGACGCCGGGCACCUCCUCAUCGGGCGUCUCCUGCCCGUCUGGCAGUCGCGCACCGUCCGUACCCACCGAUCGCCGUCGGUGAGCAUCAGCGCCGCGCGGACGCCCGCCCCUCCCGUGGCGCCAGCCACCAGGCCGGCCUUGUCACCGAGUCCGCCUCGCCGCAGCCAGUGCCACGCAGUGCAGUGGACAGUGCCUGGGAGUCGAGGAAUCUGGCAAAAACCUUUUGUAAACAAAGGGCGAUUUCACCACCGUCAGUGACACGGGUCGGAAAAGCCAGUUGGAGGUCCAGACCUGGGUGUGGGUGCUGCAGUUUUCAUUGAGGAUGCACAGAGCACGCCUGGGCAACAGUGGAAGCAGCUGAAGAGCGUAACGGGGACGAUGAGACCUGACCGACUGGAUCCUGUGGAGGGAGCAAGGACACGGGGCAGGCAGACAGGAGGCACCGACGGUGGCCUGGUCCGACAAAAGGAGACCGUGCUGUUCUGGCUAGACGGUUGGGUCAGGGAGGAGGCCGACACAGGGGAGCCUCGGAGGUGGGGACCAGCAGCUGUGCUGAGGCUACAGGUGCUGCCUAACGUAAAAGCGGUCGUUCUCACGGCCAUUAAAUGCCCACCACUUUAGCACUGCUGGUGUGUUGGGCUGUAUGCUAGGUGCGGGCAUAUAAGUGACCUUAGUCGCCUGCGACCUAGGGAUGGAGACCACAGGCUGUUCAUUUUUGCCACAGCAGCCGUGCUCCCUUCUGUAUCAUGUCACUGUUGUCAUGCUGCUCUUAGUGGUUUGGAGUUAGAGAUGAUGAGUCUGUUCUCAGGUCUCAGGUUCUGGGGAGGAUGUGAAAAUGCUCGUGGAGACAGCAGCCCUUUGGGAACAGCCAGGGAUUCAUGGAGCUCCCGCCUGACACGGGACUCAUCCCAAGGCCCUGACUCUGAAGGGGACCUGGGGUUCACACUAAACACCACAGAGACAGUUGGAAGGUGAGAAGCCUCUGCCCUCACCGAGGACAGGGAGCAACAGCGUGUGUUGGAAAUGCAGGUCUCAGCUGCCCCUGGGCUCAGAUGAAGUGCCUUUUGAAAUAUAUCCACAGUAUUUCACAUUUUAGCACUUAAAAUAGGGGUGCAGAUUUUUUUGUCAGUCUGACUCUCCUUCAUUACAGUUUAGUGCUGUCACAGUGACUGUCGUGGGGUGAAGAUGAACACGGUUCCCGUCAGCUUCUGCAAAGCAGUUUCUCACACACCUGAAGGUGUUCCUUCUCCAUCCUAAUCUCUUCCAGAAUCCAUUCUCCUGUUACGUCUGCCUUUCUUCCAAAGCUCAAUUUAUUGUUUUCUCUUAUUUUUUUUAGAAAAAUUUUUUAAUUAAAAAAAUGUCAAAUUAGGUGAAAUUCAUGUAACAUAAAAUUUGCCAUUUUCAAGUGAACAGUUCAGUAGCAUUUAGUGGUGUCACAAUUAGUUAUCAUUCGCACCUCUCUCUAGUUACAAAAUAAGGGAAAUCUAUACCACGAAGCAGUUGUUCCUCAUUCUGUAUGGACCUGCCUGUUUGGACACUGCAUGGAAGUGGAAUCCUACAGUGGGACCUUUCGUGUCUGGCCUCUUCCAUUUAUUAACAUUUGUCAAGCACGUCACUACUUGGUUCCCUUUUCUGGCUCGUGCUCCUCUGCAUGGACAGCCCAAGGCUCUACUCCUGUGUCGCCAUGAUGCACUCUGGCUGCACAGUUCAAGACCGCCUAAGGUCACUGCCUUUAAUGCGCAACUGAAAGCUGCCAUUACAGGUUGCAAGUAAUUUUCAAGAGCCAGCUCAUAACUUUAUACUCAAAUCCUAGAGGAAACAUCCUGUCCUCAUGCUGUUUAAAUCCAUAAGCCUCAGUUCAUGAACUGGAAGUUGUCAGAGGUUUAUUUGCUUUAGUAGUUUUUUAAAGUGCAAUGAAUACUCAUCAAUAUUUUUGUCAACUCUGCCACUUAGCGUUUAUUUCUUCUAAAUCCCUGGCAGCACCUGUGCUCUCUGCAUCUGAUUCUGAGGCUUUGGGUCUAAGUAAAGGGGGGCCAGGACUCACUGUGUUCCAGCUUCUGCUCCCUCUGCUCACCAUGCCCGAGGGCCGCUCAGAUCCCAAGUUAUAACCUCCCCAAGGGUCACAGGCGUCUGAGUGCCCUCCGAAGUCAGUAAUAAGUCAUCAAACGAACAUUUCCUUUACAGAACUGCAAGGUGGGGAUCUGGGAAGACUGUUAUCUUGGUCUGCAGAAAUGAAAGGUUUGAGUUACUGCGGUAUUUUUGAGAAUGAAAAAAAAAUUUUUAAGCUGUUAUGCUAAGAAUCUGGUAAAAGGAACUUCUCCACACACACAGGCCACUGGCUGAGACACCAGCCAGGCCUAGAACUUGAGGGAGCAUCAUACUCACCUGGGGAGCACAUUAGAACAGAUCCCCAGGCCUCACCCGACUUUCUGGUUCACUGGAGUGGAGGAAAGAGGGGAGCUAUUUUACAGGAUUGUUACAGGGGCCAGUCAAAUUAUAGGACCGAAGCAAGUCCCUGUCAUGAACGGACAUCCUUUAGUCCUGCACAGACAACGCUGCUAUUGGGGCAAUACAUACAUGACUGACAGAAAGAGGAGGAGACAGAAGUAUCCUGUACCCAAGUCUGCUGUUCUCUCAAGUCCCUCCUUUCGACCAAGGCUCGCCUAUUCGCUACAUCCGCUUACGUGGCCACAGCUGCCAUGGAUUCCCACAGUAUGGAGCCCAGCCAGCACUACCCUCCUCAUGAGUCAUCCCAUGAGGUAUCAGUGGGAUUCAGGAUAAUUAGGGAGAAAUAAAAAGGGCAUCUUCAGUCCACACUCUACUCGUCCUCCUCACUUGAAGAGGCUGUUUCUUGCACUACAAAGAGUGGAAGAAAUAUUUUGUUUUACGAAAAAUGUCUUCCUAGGAAUGGCUGCAGCUGGUUGUGGCAGAGUUUGAGAAAUUAAGAUGUAACUUCUUGGGCUGCUAAAACCAGCACCAGGAUACUGGGUCCGUGUCGGCCUCCUCCCCGUCUCCCACCCACAGAUAGAGGAGGCGAUGCGAUGAGAUAUUGAAGACCUGAGUGGGCCAGCCAGGGGACUCGAGGCACACCAGCUCAAGAGUGGUGCUGAGAGGGCACCUCUCAUAUUUAUUGAUCAGGCAUCACAUUCUUGAGUGGGUUAACAAGUUUCUAGACACAAUGAUUAACAUGCUUUACUACAGGAAUGUAAUUGCCUCCAGGUCGCUGGGGUAAGUCGUCCCUGGCGCCAGGCAAUGAAGGGGUAGAGAUAACAAGAAACAGAUCUCGGUUUAGAUUUAGUGAGCUGCGGCAUGCACCACAGAUUCCAAGGAAGGCAAUCAAUUCCCACAGAAACAGAAUGAUCUAUGGAUGGCAACCUACAGGUCUGCCCUGUGCAAUGGAUGGGCACUGUUCCCUGGCAGGAGGGCACUGGGGCAACAGAGAGACCAAGAUGCUCCUGGCCAAUCUUGGUACUUCUGUUUUAUGAAAACCUCCACACUUGUCAAUAGAAAGGGCAGAUCUACAGAGCGCUCGGGAACAAUGCUGGGAGCAGGGCUUUCUGUGGACCCCAGAGCAGUGUCACUCCAAGUUCAGAAGCCUGCAGUUGAGUCACGAGCUGGCCAAACCCAGGAUGGCCUUUGGUUUUUCUGCUCCAGAGGCUGGACCAAGAGUCAAGAACAUGCACUAUAGGAGACUGAGUGACAAGAUGAAGCACGGCUUGCCUCUUCCUCUCUUGUCAUGGUGUCAGAACUUCCAAAGAGACAGAAGAGGAAGAUGGGUGGACUUUGGGGUCCAUGUACCCGUGCCCAGAGUUUUGAGCUCAGAUGUGGUACAGGGGGCUCACAACACUUCACUGUCAUUAGCUUCAGGUGGCUGAUCUCGGGAAGAAUUCCGGUUGGGUCUGUCUUUUCUAUGGCUGCUAAACAGCAGCUCCUUCCUCAUCCCAUUGUCCUUCCUUCUCUCCUCUCCACUACAGUGAACUUCUCUUCUUUCAGGCUUUGAGGUCAAGAAUGGGAUUAAGAGAGAAUCCAAAAUUGGAUGCUCACAGGAAGUAGAAACAUGUAUGGUGUUACGGAGAAGGUCUUGUGACAUGUCUGGCAGUCUGAGCUAAAUGGAGCCUGCGGGGUGAGCCAGUAUCCAGAAGGUGCCACAAACAUUCUCCAGGGGAGCGAGGAGACACGCCGGGAAAGCAUGAGUCGCCAGACUUGGCACUGGGGAGCAGGCAGCGCCUCUCCUGUGAGGAGAAACUGCCCUCAGAGUUCUGCCCUCACGACCAGCCACCCCCGAACUGGAAAAAGCUUCUAAAUGUUACGAAUGUGGGAAGAGCUUUAGGCAAGGUUCUCACCUAGUUGGUGAUCAGAAUACACACAGGAGAGACCCGAGUGCUGUGAAUGUGGGAAAGAAUUUAGAGAGCGCUGCUCCCUCACUGCCCACCCGCGAAUGCACACCGGGAAGAGGCCCUCCCAGGGUGGGGAGGGUGGGAAAAGCCUCCACCAGAGCUCCAGCCUCACGGUCCCCCCAGGACCCACAUAGGGAGGAGCCGUCUCAGUGCACCAUCUGUGGGAAGACUCACAUCAGCUCCCAGGUCAGCGCUCACCAGCGAGGCCACCCUGGGGAGAGCCGAACCAGGCCUGGGCAGUGUGGGAAAACCUUCCCCAGCAGCACCCACUCACGCUGGGGGAAGAUUUCAGGGGCUCUCAGUGUGAGCAAAGCUCGGUAAAGAACUCCACCCUGACCCGCCAUCGGGCUACACAGAACACUCGCAUCCCAGGAAGAGAUGCGCUGUGAGCUAUAGGAAGCCUCACAGGUCCCAUCCUCAGGCCCACAUGCAUUCCUAGAGCUUCCCACUGUUUGUGCAGAACUGGUUAAUCGUUGCCAGGCUGAGCAGUAGGCUCUACUGUCAGCCUACUGGAGAACCAUGUCCAAGAGCAGGAGUCAGUGUAAGGAUGCUGCAUCUCACCAGCUCUGCCUGUGCCCAGAGUCCCAUCUCGCUGUGACCUUCUGUUCUGCUUUGAAGGGCAGAGGCUGUGGGACCCAUAUGUCCUCCUGGAAUACCAGGGUACCCUUGUUCUGAACAGAGUAUGGGAGGCUAGUGGCCUGUGCAAAGUCAGAGCAGACAUUCUCCCCUCAUGGGAAACACAUCUAGAAGCUAACAGGCGGGAUGUGUUUUCAUCCAGUACCUGACCUCUAGGCACCUCCUGCUGGACAGCAGCGCUACCCUCAGGCCACAUCUCUGCUCUGUGUCCCCAUCAACAACUACAAGGGGACGAAGGAGAGGAUGGGUUGAGCUACCGGGAAAUACUGAACCUAAGCGACUAACCCUUGAGCAACUGUAAUAUCCACAUUCAUCUCCCUGCACCCUACCAUCCCCAUUCCCGGUGUCGGGUCUCUCAUACUAAAGGUUUCUACAAGUGUAAAAGCACUGCUCUUUCUGACGAAAAUAAAGCUGCUUCUGUCCCCA
Long non-coding RNA from Manis pentadactyla (Chinese pangolin), 5625 nucleotides. RefSeq lists it as uncharacterized. Lineage: Eukaryota; Metazoa; Chordata; Mammalia; Pholidota; Manidae. The transcript has 4 exons. The record is from RefSeq and is a predicted model, not a curated record.